Molecule: long non-coding RNA, 388 nt
Organism: Vulpes vulpes (red fox)
Lineage: Eukaryota; Metazoa; Chordata; Mammalia; Carnivora; Canidae
Source: Ensembl
CAAGAGGUCGUUUUAUAAACAAUUACUGAGGUUAGGGCUCUUUAUAUUGUCUUGGUUUCAUCCUAAAAUGUUUCUAUACUUAGGGUCGCCAAGGAAGCCAGAGUGGAGGCUGUCGGAAGGGUGGGUUUGAAUGAACUUUGGCUGCUCCAUCAAGCAGGCUGAUUACUGAGGAAACAUCAAAAGCUUCACCCGAGUGACUCAUCACCCAGAUCCAACAGAGGCUAUGAGAGUUGUGAGCACCCAUGGAUAUGCUUAGGAUUGAAGAAGCUUCCAAAAGUAGCAAUAUCACAAAAGGAUUUCUGGUAAGAGAAUAACAAUAAUAAUAAUUCAUGUAAAGUUUACUCUGUUUCACUUUGGGGGGUUACUGCAACUCUGUAAUAACUUCAUU